This is a long non-coding RNA of Sarcophilus harrisii (Tasmanian devil), 2738 nucleotides long. NCBI's taxonomy places the organism in Eukaryota, Metazoa, Chordata, Mammalia, Dasyuromorphia, Dasyuridae. The record is from Ensembl.
AUCCCCUCUGCCUGGGGUAUUUCUUUUCCCUGGGUAUUCUGAGAUAGAUGUAUCUAGACAAGGAUUUUGUGAAUUUGGGAGCUCCUAUUAUCCCACCAUUGGGAAAUAACCACAGUUACUUUGAGAUGGGUGUGUCUAGGUGAAGACCUUGUGAGCACUAUCGGGCCUUCAGAGAACUGAGAGUUCAGCUGGUAUCUUUCUUUCCCUUUCCUGAAACUCGAGGGGGAGAGAGUAUCAGAAGCAACAGUGCAAAGUUUUCAGUAGAAAAAUGGCUUAUCAUAGCAGAGGAAUAGGCUGGAUCACAGAUCUUUCCAGUAAGAAAGUCAUACUCUUUGUGGAGUCAGCUUAGCUGAGCAUGGCAGCUUCUCAUCCAUCACCAGCUCCAUAUCCUGCAAUGAACUCAUUGAGAACUCUCCAAAAGAAAAAAAGUAUCCAUGAUGGGAGAGACAAGGGGAAGGAAAAAACAACAUCCAGCUUUGUAAAUGUCUUCAGAGAUGAGAAGAGCUAUGUGUACACCUCUGCUUGACAAGGAGCCUGCCUGCACCUUCGUGCUGACUCUGCAGAACCAAUACAGACCAUUCGUGCCCAGGGAAGAAAUCAUCAGAGACAUAUUGGGAGGUGCGGUUGGGGGGGGGGGGGGGGGGGGGGGAGGACUGGGAGAAGAAGGACAUUCUUCACCAAGAAUUCAUCCAGUCCCUUCUAGCUCUUGAGCUUUUUUUCUAUAGACCACAUUCAGCUUCCCAUCCCAGUCCUGCUUCAUCAUGUAUAGCUUCCCAGCCAUUUCCCAUCUUUUUCCAGGUCUGCCAUCCUGUGCUCAGACCUGUACAGCUGCAAAUAAGAGAAUUGCCGAGCUUGGUCAUCUUCCUACCUAGUUAUCCUCCUCCAUCCUAUGAUUAUCUUCUCCUGUUUCCAGUAAUCAGGACAUUCUCUUUUAGAUGGUGAACAAACAAAGCAAAGGGCAAGGGUAAAUUCUUAGCUCUUACCAAUGAUGAGAAAAAAAGAGAAUAGGUGGGGAAAAAGGGGAAGGGAGAGAAGAGAGAAAAGGAGGAGAGAGGAGUGAAGGGAAUAAAAGGAAUUAGGGGGAAGGAGAAAGAAUGAGCAGAUUUAAGAGCGGAGAGGGAAGGAGAGAGGGGAUGGAAGGGGAGUAGUUUCAUAGGAAGGAAAGGUUAAGGAAAGAGCAGUUUCAAAGGUGAGAGGUGGAGAGGAAGCAGCUUCAUAGAGGAGGGGACAGAGAGAAGGAGCAGCUUCAUCAGGGAAAGGCGGGGGAGAAGGAGCAGCUUCAUAGGAGACGGGAAGGGAAAGAGUGGCUUUCAUAGGAGAGGGAGAAAGCCGCUUCAUAGCGGAAGAGAGGAGGGAAGGGAUUAUCUUCGUAGGAGAGGGAAGAUAGGGAAUAAUUUCACACUGGAAGGGAAGAAAAGAUUGGGUUCAUGCUUUCUUCCACACACCUCUAGAAUUGAAUGUGUAUUGAAGAUUGCCUCCAGAAUUUUCUCAACAUUCUUCCAGAUGUCGUGCCUGAUAUCCUAUUACGAGAUUGAUCUUCCUAUUUUUUGUAGAGAGCUUGUAUCACAUCGUAAUUUGGCAUCCUUUAAAUAGCCACAGAUUCAAACUGGGAAUCUGGCUUUAUAAGACGAUAACUAAAAGAAUUUUAACUCCUGCAGAGAUCUCUGUUGCUUUCUGUCGGCUCUCAAGCUGUUUCCUGUGCCCAGAAUCUUCCUAAUAGUAAGCUCUCUCAGGGCAGGGUCAUUCUGUUACUGAAACAUGCCUCACUGCGUCCGGUCUGGAUUCUGCACUGUGGAUGCUCAAUAAAUGCUGUUGUUGGUACUGUUUGACUGACAAGCAGUGGAAUGGAAAGGAGUCAAGGAGAGCUCUUUCCGGGUUGAGUUAAAAAAAAAAAAGCCCACUUAUUUUCCGAAAGGAGGUGGGUGGGAAGGAUCGUAGGAGAGAGAGGAAAGGAAUUAAAAAUCCUGAAGCUGGCAGGAAGCGUUCCACUUUGAUCCACUCCUUCUGGGCAAAUCCAUUCAUUUUAAGUGAAGCCAAGGCGGGCCCCCAUCCGUGUCUCACCCCAAUCUGGAGAGCUUGGAAGCCCAGGGAGUGAGGCUUGGGAAAUGAGCGAAGUGGUCAGACUGGUUUCUAGAACCAAGCACAGGAUCAACAUGGGCUGGGAAUCAUUAGCUUUGGAGUGCAGAGCCCUAGAGGCUCAGAACGGCUGGGGGUGAUUAGAACCUGCCUCUUGUAGGGUUGGGGUUGGGGGGCGAUACUGGGAAGAGCAGGUAGAGAAAAGGAGAAGGGAAGAUGUCAGGCAUACCGGAGCGUCUUGGAGAAUAAGUAUUUACAUUUUGUAAAAGUACAGAAUGAGACCCCGCUUCUUGCUGAGGGAGGAAGGUUUCUGAUUCAUCUUCCUUCGCUCAGAGUUAAGCACGUUGAUAAUGGAGGUACCAUUGGAGGAAUGGGGAUAUGGCUUCGAUCUGGGGUGGCUUCUGGGGCUGGGAUUUGUCCCUGAAAGAAAUGCUGUUGGAAUAAAUGGAUUCAAAUGGAUUCCGGGAGUCUUCCUGGACAAACGGAAAGAGAGCCACGUGUUCCCACCUUGGCCAAGCCCUUCCCCAAGACUGCAGACGGGAGUGCUAUGUGUUGGGGAAUGAGAACUGUGAAUGGGGGUGGGGAGGCAGUCCCACCUCUUUCUAGUCUCCCAUCAUCGCUCCUGGGACACUCCAAAAACCACCGGGUCUACACUCACUCGC